This 565-nucleotide ribosomal RNA is filed under the name uncultured bacterium. Its description in RNAcentral is "partial 16S ribosomal RNA". It matches the Rfam family "Bacterial small subunit ribosomal RNA", at positions 356 to 914 of the family's 1533-position model. The record is from RNAcentral.
UGGGAAUUUUGGACAAUGGGCGAAGCCUGAUCCAGCCAUGCCGCGUGCAGGAUGAAGGCCUUCGGGUUGUAAACUGCUUUUGUACGGAACGAAAAGACUCUGGUUAAUACCUGGGGUCCAUGACGGUACCGUAAGAAUAAGCACCGGCUAACUACGUGCCAGCAGCCGCGGUAAUACGUAGGGUGCAAGCGUUAAUCGGAAUUACUGGGCGUAAAGCGUGCGCAGGCGGUUAUAUAAGACAGAUGUGAAAUCCCCGGGCUCAACCUGGGAACUGCAUUUGUGACUGUAUAGCUAGAGUACGGCAGAGGGGGAUGGAAUUCCGCGUGUAGCAGUGAAAUGCGUAGAUAUGCGGAGGAACACCGAUGGCGAAGGCAAUCCCCUGGGCCUGUACUGACGCUCAUGCACGAAAGCGUGGGGAGCAAACAGGAUUAGAUACCCUGGUAGUCCACGCCCUAAACGAUGUCAACUGGUUGUUGGGUCUUCACUGACUCAGUAACGAAGCUAAACGCGUGAAGUUGACCGCCUGGGGAGUACGGCCGCAAGGUUGAAACUCAAAUGAAUUGAC